GACGAACGCUGGCGGCGUGCCUAAUACAUGCAAGUAGAACGCACAGUUUAUACCGUAGCUUGCUACACCAUAGACUGUGAGUUGCGAACGGGUGAGUAACGCGUAGGUAACCUGCCUGGUAGCGGGGGAUAACUAUUGGAAACGAUAGCUAAUACCUCAUAAUAUUAAUUAUUGCAUGAUAAUUAAUUGAAAGGUUCAAUUGCACCACUACCAGAUGGGCCUGCGUUGUAUUAGCUAGUAGGUGAGGUAACGGCUCACCUAGGCGAAGAUACAUAGCCGACCUGGGAGGGUGAUCGGCCAAAAUGGGAAUGAGAAAAGGCCCAGAAUCCUAAGGGAGGCAGCAGGAGGGAAACUUCGGAAAUGGACGAAAGUCUGAACGAGCAAAGCCGCGUGAGUGAAGAAGGUUUUCGGAUCGUAAAGAUCUGUUGUAAGAGAAGAAAGGGUGUGAGAGUGGAAAGUUCACACUGUGACGGUAUCUUACCAGAAAGGGACGGCUAACUACGUG
Molecule: ribosomal RNA, 505 nt
Filed under: uncultured bacterium
Lineage: Bacteria
Description: partial 16S ribosomal RNA
Rfam family: Bacterial small subunit ribosomal RNA
Source: RNAcentral